CGCAAGCCGUGAUGCAGCCAUGCCGCGUGUGUGAAGAAGGCCUUCGGGUUGUAAAGUCACUUUCAGUCGUGAGGAGGUAGUGUAGUUAAUAGCUGCAUUUAUUUGUACGUUAGCGACAGAAGAAGCACCGGCUAACUCCGUGCCAGCAGCCGCGGUAAUACGGAGGGUGCGAGCGUUAAUCGGAAUUACUGGGCGUAAAGCGCAUGCAGGUGGUUUGUUAAGUCAGAUGUGAAAGCCCGGGGCUCAACCUCGGAAUAGCAUUUUGAAAACUGGCAGACUAGAGUACUGUAGGAGGGGGUAGAAUUUCAGGUGUAGCGGUAGAAAUGCGUAGAGAUCUGAAGGAAUACCGGUGGCGAAGGCCGGCCCCCUGGACAGAUACUGACACUCAGAUGACGAAAGCGGUGGGGAGACAAACAGGUAUUAGACUACCCGUGGUAG
This 438-nucleotide ribosomal RNA is filed under the name uncultured bacterium. Its description in RNAcentral is "bacterial SSU rRNA". It matches the Rfam family "Bacterial small subunit ribosomal RNA", at positions 376 to 793 of the family's 1533-position model. The record is from RNAcentral.